RNAcentral lists this ribosomal RNA (253 nucleotides) under uncultured bacterium. RNAcentral describes it as "partial 16S ribosomal RNA". It matches the Rfam family "Bacterial small subunit ribosomal RNA", at positions 524 to 776 of the family's 1533-position model. The record is from RNAcentral.
UACGUAGGGUGCAAGCGUUAAUCGGAAUUACUGGGCGUAAAGCGUGCGCAGGCGGUUUCGUAAGUCUGUCGUGAAAGCCCCGGGCUCAACCUGGGAAUUGCGAUGGAGACUGCGAGGCUAGAGUGUGUCAGAGGGGGGUAGAAUUCCACGUGUAGCAGUGAAAUGCGUAGAUAUGUGGAGGAACACCGAUGGCGAAGGCAAUCCCCUGGACCUGUACUGACGCUCAUGCACGAAAGCGUGGGGAGCAAACAGG